AUUGAACGCUGGCGGCAGGCCUAACACAUGCAAGUCGAGCGGCAGCGGGAAAGUAGCUUGCUACUUUUGCCGGCGAGCGGCGGACGGGUGAGUAAUGCCUGGGGAUCUGCCCAGUCGAGGGGGAUAACUACUGGAAACGGUAGCUAAUACCGCAUACGCCCUACGGGGGAGAGCAGGGGACCUUCGGGCCCUGCGGGAUUGGUUGAACCCAGGUGGGAUUAGCUAGUUGGUGAGGUAAUGGCUCACCAAGGCGACGAUCCCUAGCUGGUCUGGGAGGAUGAUCAGCCACACUGGAACUGAGACACGGUCCAGACUCCUACGGGAGGCAGCAGUGGGGAAUAUUGCACAAUGGGGGAAACCCUGAUGCAGCCAUGCCGCGUGUGUGAAGAAGGCCUUCGGGUUGUAAAGCACUUUCAGCGAGGAGGAAAGGUUGGUAGCUAAUAACUGCCAGCUGUGACGUUACUCGCAGAAGAAGCACCGGCUAACUCCGUGCCAGCCGCCGCCGUAA
Molecule: ribosomal RNA, 508 nt
Filed under: uncultured bacterium
Lineage: Bacteria
Description: partial 16S ribosomal RNA
Rfam family: Bacterial small subunit ribosomal RNA
Source: RNAcentral